This 417-nucleotide ribosomal RNA is filed under the name Sicyonia dorsalis. RNAcentral's name for it is "partial 16S ribosomal RNA". It matches the Rfam family "Bacterial large subunit ribosomal RNA", at positions 2048 to 2629 of the family's 2925-position model. Lineage: Eukaryota; Metazoa; Arthropoda; Malacostraca; Decapoda; Sicyoniidae. The record is from RNAcentral.
AAUAAGCUGUCUCAGUUAUAACUAUUGAAUUUAACUUUUAAGUGAAAAGGCUUAAAUAGUCUAAGGGGACGAUAAGACCCUAUAAAGCUUUACGAUUUGUUUAUUAAAUCAAAAAUUGUAAGUAUAAAUUUUAUUUAAUAGACAUUUGUUUCGUUGGGGCGACGAGAAUAAAAUUUAGUAACUGUUCUUUUAGAGUAUAACAAUUAUAAUUGAAGGAAAAUUGAUCCCUUAUUAAGGAUUAAAAAUUUAAGUUACUUUAGGGAUAACAGCGUAAUCUUUUUUGAGAGUCCAUAUCGACAAAAAGGGUUGCGACCUCGAUGUUGAAUUAAGGGAUCUUUACAGUGCAGCAGUUGUAAAGGAAGGUCUGUUCGACCUUUGAUUCCUUACAUGAUUUGAGUUCAGACCGGCGUAAGCCAG